UUGGAGGGCAAGUCUGGUGCCAGCAGCCGCGGUAAUUCCAGCUCCAAUAGCGUAUAUUAAAGUUGUUGCAGUUAAAAAGCUCGUAGUUGAAUUUCGGGAUUGACACAUCGGUCGUGCCUUAAGGGGUAUGAACUGGUGUAGUCAAUUUCUCACCUUCUGGAGAACCGCGAUGCCCUUAAUUGGGUGUCGCGGGGAACCAGGACCUUUACUUUGAAAAAAUUAGAGUGUUUAAAGCAGGCAUUUUGCUUGAAUACAUUAGCAUGGAAUAAUAAAAUAGGACGGCAUGAUUCUAUUUUGUUGGUUUCUAGGAUCACCGUAAUGAUUAAUAGGGAUAGUUGGGGGCAUUAGUAUUCAAUUGUCAGAGGUGAAAUUCUUGGAUUUAUUGAAGACUAACUACUGCGAAAGCAUUUGCCAAGGAUGUUUUCAUUAAUCAAGAACGAAAGUUAGGGGAUCGAAGACGAUCAGAUGCCGUCGUAGUCUUAACCAUAAACUAUGCCGACUAGGAAUCAGACGAUGUUAAUUUUUUAAUGACUCGUUUGGCACCUUACGGGAAACCAAAGUGUUUGGGUUC
Molecule: ribosomal RNA, 571 nt
Filed under: uncultured Glomeromycotina
Lineage: Eukaryota; Fungi; Glomeromycota
Description: SSU rRNA
Rfam family: Eukaryotic small subunit ribosomal RNA
Source: RNAcentral